This is a non-coding RNA of Bacillus gaemokensis, 88 nucleotides long. Lineage: Bacteria; Bacillati; Bacillota; Bacilli; Caryophanales; Bacillaceae. The record is from Rfam.
GGAAAGGUACUCAAGUUGGUUAAGAGGACUGUUUGCUAAACAGUUAGCACUAUUAUUAGUGGCGCAGGUUCGAGUCCUGUCUUUUCCU